RNAcentral lists this ribosomal RNA (1490 nucleotides) under uncultured organism. Its description in RNAcentral is "bacterial SSU rRNA". It matches the Rfam family "Bacterial small subunit ribosomal RNA". The record is from RNAcentral.
AACGAACGCUGGCGGCGUGCUUAACACAUGCCAGUCGGAUGCGAACGGGGCUUUCGGGCGUCGAGUAGCAUGGCAGACGGGUGAAGAGCGCGUAUCUGACUGGACUCAGGCUGUGGGAUAGUCCCUCGAAAGGGGGUUGAAUACCGGAUGUGCUCGGUGCUGUGAGGGCAUCGACGAAAGUUGGGCUCUGCGGGCACGCUGAUGGACUGAGACAGGGAUGCGUCCUAUUAGCUAGCUGGUGGGGUAAGGGCCUACCAUGGCGACGAUGGGUAGCUGGUCUGAGAGGAUGAUCAGCCACACUGGGACUGCGACACGGCCCAGACUCCUACGGGAGGCAGCAGUGGGGAAUUUCGCGCAAUGGGCGCAAGCCUGACGCAGAAACGCCGUGUGCAUGACGACGCCUUUCGAGGUGUAAAGUGCUGUCGACCGGGACGAGUGGGCGAGGGUGAACAGCUUUCGCGCAUGACGGUACCGGUGGAGGAAGCCCCGGUUAACUCCUUGCCAGCAGCCGCGGUAAGACGGAGGGGGCGAGCGUUGUUCGGAAUUACUGGGCUUAAAGCGCGCGUAGGCGGUGCAGCAAUCUGAGUGCUUGAAAGCCCUCGGCUUAACCGGGGACGGGCUGUGCCUAACUGUUGGACUGGAUUGCCGGAAGGGGAGGCGGAAUCCCUGGUGGAGCGUUGAAAUGCGUAGAGAUCAGGAAGCACGUCGGUGGCGAAGGCGGUCUCCUGGACGGACACAGACGCUGAGGUGCGACAGCGUGGGGCGCGAACGGGAUUAGAUACCCCGGUAGUACACGCCGUAAACGAUGGGUACUAGGUCUGGGGCAUGGGACGAGGCCCGUCCCGGAGCUAACGCAGUAAGUACCCCGCCUGGGGAGAACGUCGCCAAGGCUGAAACUCAAAGGAAUGGACGGGGGCCCGCACAACCGUUGGAGCAUGUGGUUUAAUUCGACGCAACGCGCAGACCCUUACCCAGCUUUGACAUGCACCGGCACAGCGAGGAGAGUCGUUGGCCCGUUUCGGGACGGUGCACAGGUGCUGCAUGGCUGUCGUCAGCUCGUGUCGUGAGAUGUUGGGUUAAGUCCCGCAACGAGUGCAACCCCUGCCAGUAGUUGCCAACAGGUGAUGCUGGGGACUCUACUGGGGACUAUCCGGGGUGAAACCGGAGGAAGGUGGGGAUGACGUCAAGUCAUCAUGGCCCUUACGCCUGGGGCGACACACGUGCUACAAUGGGCCGCACAACGGGGGGCGACCCUGCGAGGGGGAGCGAAUCCCUGAAACCGUGUCUCAGUUCGGAUUGGAGUCUGCAACUCGACUCCAUGAAGGUGGAAUCGCUAGUAAUCGCGGAUCAGCAUGCCGCGGUGAAUACGUUCCCGGGCCUUGUACACACCGCCCGUCACACCACGAUAGUUGAUGAUACCCGAAGUCGCCGGCCCAACCGCAAGGGGGUAGCUGCCGAAGGUAUGAUGAGCGAUUGGGGUGAAGUCGUAA